RNAcentral lists this ribosomal RNA (468 nucleotides) under uncultured bacterium. RNAcentral describes it as "partial 16S ribosomal RNA". It matches the Rfam family "Bacterial small subunit ribosomal RNA", at positions 28 to 507 of the family's 1533-position model. The record is from RNAcentral.
GACGAACGCUGGCGGCGUGCUUAACACAUGCAAGUCGAACGGAAAGGCCCUGCUUUUGUGGGGUGCUCGAGUGGCGAACGGGUGAGUAACACGUGAGUAACCUGCCCUUGACUCUGGGAUAACUUCAGUAAACCGGGGCUAAUACCGGAAAGGCGCUCCUGCUGUACGGGGGGGGUUGGAAAGUUUCGGCGGUUGGGGAUGGACUCGCGGCUUAUCAGCUUGUUGUUGGGGUAGUGGCUUAGCAAGGCUUUGACGGGUAGCCGGCCUGGGAGGGUGACCGGCCACAUUGGGACUGAGAUACGGCCCGGACUCCUUCGGGAGGCAGCAGUGGGGAAUAUUGCACAAUGGGCGGAAGCCUGAUGCAGCGACGCCGCGUGCGGGAUGACGGCCUUCGGUUUGUAGACCGCUUUCGCCUGUGACGAAGCGUGAGUGACGGUAAUGGGUAAAGAAGCACCGGCUAACUACGUG